This 437-nucleotide ribosomal RNA is filed under the name uncultured Anaerolineaceae bacterium. Its description in RNAcentral is "bacterial SSU rRNA". It matches the Rfam family "Bacterial small subunit ribosomal RNA", at positions 929 to 1382 of the family's 1533-position model. Lineage: Bacteria; Bacillati; Chloroflexota; Anaerolineae; Anaerolineales; Anaerolineaceae. The record is from RNAcentral.
GCAGCGGAGCGUGUGGUUUAAUUCGUUGCUACGACGAAGAACCUUACCUGGUUGACAUAUAGGUUGUAGGGAACUGAAAGGGACCGACCCUUCGGGGAGCCUAUACAGGUGUUGCAUGGCUGUCGUCAGCUCGUGUCGUGAGAUGUUCGGUUAAGUCCGCUAACGAGCGCAACCCUCGUCGUAUGUUAUAUGUGUCAUACGAGACUGCCGGUAAAAGCCGGAGGAAGGUGAGGAUGAUGUCAAGUCAGCAUGACCUUUAUAUCCAGGGCUACACACACGCUACAAUGGUCUGUACAAUGGGUAGCCAAGCCGCAAGGCGGAGCCAAUCCUGAAAGCAGGCCUCAGUUCAGAUUGCAGUCUGCAACUCGACUGCAUGAAGCCGGAGUUGCUAGUAACCGCAGGUCAGCAAUACUGCGGUGAAUACGUUCCCGGGUCUU